CGGGGAGUAGUUUAAGGUAAAUAAUGCCUGCCUGUCUGCCGACAGGCAGGCAAGGAGUGCGUGUGGUCUCGGUUCGAUUCCGAGCACCCCGACCA
RNAcentral lists this transfer RNA (95 nucleotides) under bacterium. Its description in RNAcentral is "tRNA-OTHER". It matches the Rfam family "tRNA". Rfam says of the family: Transfer RNA (tRNA) molecules are approximately 80 nucleotides in length. Their secondary structure includes four short double-helical elements and three loops (D, anti-codon, and T loops). The record is from RNAcentral.